Molecule: non-coding RNA, 78 nt
Filed under: Paenibacillus uliginis
Lineage: Bacteria; Bacillati; Bacillota; Bacilli; Caryophanales; Paenibacillaceae
Also listed under: 1 other name
Description: ZTP sequence
Rfam family: ZMP/ZTP riboswitch aptamer (pfl RNA motif)
About the family: Previously known as pfl RNA.
Source: RNAcentral
GUCACUAUGUGUAACUGGCGUAACAUGGAAUACCAUGAGGGAGCACAUAGAUAACAGCCGUACGCCUGGGCAGAGGUA